AAAAAAAUAAAAUUAAUUAAGACCAAGGGCAAAAAAGACAUAUCUACCAAAUGGGGUAUAAAGACAAAUUUUAUGAAAAUUUUCUACAAGUUUCUACAUUCUUCUCCCUCAAAAAAAUCUGAAUACCUCCCUUCAUUCUCUCUUCCUCUUACAUGCCCUCCCAUCCUCUUUCUCUCAAACUUCAUUAAACCCACCUUAAGCUUCAAACAAUUCAAUAUCAUGGUCCUUAUACCCUCAAUUUCCUUAUGCAAGCUUGAAUUUAAUCUUUUUCCAUCUCUUUUCCUAAUCUAGCCUCACCACCAAUCUCAUAAUUAUUGAUGUUUUAAGCCAAGUUCAAGCUUCAAGAAUUUAUACAUGUUUGGAUGGUGAUAGUAGUGGUUCAAGUUUCAAGUUUUGAAGUAGAAAUUCAAGUGGGAAGCAGGGAGAAGUGUCUAAGAUUGAGGUAAGGGCUGUUAGUAGAAUUAGUUAGUAUUGUUGUUGUUGCUGUUUGAAAUGAAAAGCUAGAACCUAAAAGUCAUAAGUUGUUCCAAAAGCUUCAAUAUUUGAUUAUUGAGUUAAAUAUGUUAGAAUUUCUGUAAGACUGGUGUAGGAGCUGUGUAUACAUAUUUUCUUUGAUUCUGGAAAAUUUGAGUUGAAAUUGAAUUGUCUAGAGGUCAUAAGCUGUCAGUAAGCUGUUUUGGGAAUUUUGCCUUAAAUAACUAAGUUGUUGAUUAACCUGCUGUAUAAGUGGUUCAUGGGGCUGAGUAUAUAUGUUGGAACAUCUUUGUUGAAGGCUGGGUCGAAAUUAAUUUGAUAGAAGCCAUAAGCUGCUAAUUAAGCUGUUUGGAAGUGCUUAAAUAGCCAAACGACGUACUUCUGGUGCAAGGACUGAAAUUGAAAUUUUCGUGUAUGCUGGUUGAUGAAGUAAGAGUACGUCACAAAUGAGUUGAGUUGUUUUGGAAAGAGCAAGACCUAUAAGCCAAGACAUAAGCUAUUUUGGAAAAUGGAUUAUGGAGUUUUGGAGCUAGUAAAAGCUGCAAAUUGUGGAUAAGCUGCUUGCAAUUUCGGGACUAAUGCCAAGGUGAGUUCCUUUAGCUUAGAACCCACCUUUGGAGAUCGAUUAUGAUUAUGCUACAUUAUUAAGAUAACAUGAAUAAUUAGACCAUUUUAUGAUUACUUGCCUUUUGUACAAACAUGUCUGUUAUGCCAUAUGAAUGGUACAUUUGAAGUAGAAUAAAUAUAAGAUAGUUAGGAUGAUUAUUUCUUCAUUAGGCACCCUUGCUUGUUUAUUCUAAAAUCUAUUUUAUGUUAAUAAGUAUGUUGAUGUUAGUAUAAAUGUCGGAGGGAAAUUAGCCACACAAUUGAUGUAUAUAUACUUAUAGAAAUGAUUUGAAAGAAAAGUUGAAAUGCAACAAGAAACUCGUAGAAAAAUUGAAAUGGGUAACAUGCUCAUAGUAAAAAAAAAAAAUCUAAAAAAAUCAGUUUGCUACAACGAAGAGAUAAUGUAGCCUAUGAGAUACGGAUAGUAACAAAAUGAAAUAGUUACCGUUCGCCACAACGAAGAGAUAAUGUGGUAUAUUUGGCGAAGAGAUAAUGUGGUAUAUCCGUUCGCCACAACGAAGAAAUAAUGUGGUAUAUUUCCGUUCGCCACAACGAAGAGAUAAUGUGGUUUAUGUACAAAUAAUGAAAAGAGAUAAAUGAUGAGAUAGUUUAUAUUGAGUGGUACAAAUGAGAAAAUAAUUUAUAUUGAUGAGAUAGUUUUUAUAUUGAGUGGUAUAAAUGAGAAAAUAAUUUAUAUACUUUUACUUACUAUCUAUUAAAAGAAAUGAUUCAUGUUUUUACAUUUUUGCCCUCAUUAUGGGCAAUUUAGUAAUUUACUAAUUUUUAGACUUAGGUGAAUGCCACCUCACCAAAAAAAAUUCCACCCAAGAUUUUUUUAAUGGGCCAAGCCCAAUUUUUUCUCCAUUUCUCCUCCUACACUAAAAAUUCAACCCUCACCCCCACCGCCUUAACCAUGCCAAACUUCAUCAAACCUUCAUGGAAUCUUAGUGAAAUUUGUAGGUUUAAAGAAUUUAAUUUCUUUUUUACUGUAUUUUGAUUUUGAUACUAUAAAAAUUGUCUCUAUUACUUCACUUCAGAAUUUGUUUUAUAUGUUAAUAAGCCAAAUAUGCAAAAUGAUUAAUAUUUGUUUAGGUUUUUUCAUAUUAUUUCAUUCUUUUGUUUCAAAGAAAAAUGAUGAUGUAAGUCAACAAAAUUCGCAAGAUUCAAGUUGAAAGCGUGGUACUGCAUGUUUUAUGUCUUUAUUUUUGUUAUAGGAUCAAUUGCAUUGUCAUUAUUUUUGCAGGCAGUGAGUAACAAGUCGCGCAUCAUUCUUACUAUCUACUAACUAACAAUAAAAAAUAUGGCAGGUGGUUUUCCAAUUUUGCCCUUCUGGAGGGCAAUUUUGUAAUCCAAUAACCCUUUGAGAUUUAUUUGUUGCCACGUCAUAUGCAUUUUGUUAUAUAUUUCCUAUUUCACGAUAUAAUUGUUGUAGUGGUGUAGUGACAUUCUCUCUAAAUCACAUCGCAACACUCAUCUCUCACCGCCGUCAACCUUGCCAUCAAACACACCGAUCUCCACAUGUCUAAGAGUAUAUAUUCACUAAUAUAUAUCAUUUAAUUCCAUGCAAGGCUACUGUACGUCCAGAUCUGCUGUUGCUAAAUUUUGAUCUAAAGCAAUCUAUACCGAGUUCAUGAACCAAUGAAAUUGGAAACUUAGAGAGUAUUUUGAUUGGAGGUUUCAGGAAAUAGCAGGGUCUUUAGAUUCUGUGCUGACAACAUCCAGUCUUGUACCCGUUCAAAAUUUAGAUCCUAACAAAGUAAAUUAUCAGGACUUAACGCUAAAAUCAAGUGUAACUCUGUUGGAGAGUUUGAGAUUGUGUUGGAGAGAAGAAAAUGGUUGUGUAGUAACUUGCUGUCAGGACAGGUCUUUGUUUUCAACAACAACUUGGAGAGCUAGGAAGUAAUUAAGACUAAUUUUCAAGCAAGAAGAAAAAGGGAAUAUUAGAAAGAAAAAAAAUAUGAUAUGAAGUGAAGAGAUGAUGGGUAGAGUUUUAAGGGUUUUAAUUUUUCUUUUUGUUUUUCUUUGUUUGAAGAAAGAGUUUACGAAUAUAGUAAUGAGUUUCAUCAUUGUCAAUUUACAGAUACUUUUAUUUUCCUACUUGACUGCUACUCAUUUUGUUCUUCAUGAACUCCUAUACUCUAGCCUGUCUGGUACUUGAAUGUAUAAUACUUUGGACUUACCCUUAACUCUAAUCCAAAACUAUCUUAACUUGGAAA
This is a long non-coding RNA of Medicago truncatula (barrel medic), 3296 nucleotides long. RefSeq lists it as uncharacterized. The transcript has 2 exons. NCBI's taxonomy places the organism in Eukaryota, Viridiplantae, Streptophyta, Magnoliopsida, Fabales, Fabaceae. The record is from RefSeq and is a predicted model, not a curated record.